GAUUUUCUGCACCGAGAACUUUGGAUGACCAUCAAGACAAGCACUCGUUUUGAGUCCUGAGACCCUGGGGUGACCACCGUGAACAAAUACAGACUGCAAAAAGGCAGUCUUGACGGUUCUAGGAUGAAUGCAAAUAAAGACUAACCACCUGACUUCAGCGGUCCAGUCUCUUGUGGGAAGCAGGUGCUUGUUACCCCAAAUACGGAUGAAGAGUGACGAAGAGGAUGAUGACUUUUUUCUCAAACAUCAUCUGAAGAUCUUGACAGGCUGGAGACAAAAUGAACAGACUGAGGGUUUAUACAAAGAAUCUUACUCAGCCAAUAUUAAAGAUAAUAUAUUUUUACAAAAUGUUCUUUUCAUUGUUUAGGAUGAUUUUAUGUAGAAAACAAUACAUCACAAAAAAGACUUUAGCUGGGUUUUCACAGGCAGUGCCUUACACACACACUAACCACAAUUAUAAACGCAACACUAACACAGAUUUAGACAGAUAAUAUUUGAGAGAAAUAGGCCUUUUGGGGACAUAGAAAAUAUUUAAGUUCAGCUCAUGAAAUGAAAAAUGGGGGCAAAAAAUGUUUUAACAAGUGCAAUACAAAUAUCAACCAUAAUACUGAUCGUUUAAAAAAAAGUAAGCCACUAUAUCUUUCUAGAAUCUUACACAAGACUCAGUUACAUAAACGAUCAAAAUAAAUUAACGUCAGACAGGUGGGCGAAAUAUCAAUAUUAAAGCAUGAAUAACUGUUAUCAACCCAAUUUCAAGGUAUUAUUUAAAUGAUCCCACACAAAACAGUUUAUUAUUUAAAUGCAUUAUUACUACAUACCUUAAGCAUGUGUUCCACGCCUUUCUUCUUCUUGGCGUUGCGAGGUCAAGCGGAUGUUGUUAUGUAGAAUCACGACCUUGACGUAAAGACGCACAUCCGUAAUUUAUUUAACAAUGAUAACACUUUCGGGAAAUUUUAUCUUCUAGAUCCUAAUUAAAGCUAUAAAGAAAGAGCACCCUAUCACGAUUAUUUCCUGGUAAGUUUUUGAAAUGUUUUAUUUUAGAAUGGAGAUUAAUAAAGCAGACGAGGAAAGGUUUUGAUUAUUUUAAAUAUGUUUAUAUGUUGUUGUUUUCGCAUACUGUCAUGUAAAAAAUAUAUUUAAAGAUAAAUGAAUGAAAGUUUUCAUUGUUUAAUUUGAAUAAAUGUGUUUUAUAAAAUCAACAACUGCCUGUUUUAAGAUCAAUUGAAAAUGCUGUUUUAAUUACUUAAUAUCGAUGACACAGCUUGCAUGUGUAGAUGUGUGUAGAAAUAAUUUGCUGUAGUUUAGGGCAAUUCAAUUUGUUAAUGAGGGAUCUUGUAAUCUUACAAACAUCUGGGAAAGAGCGGCUUACCGUCUUUCUAAGCUCUUCUAAAGAUCUGGGAAAGAGCGGCUCCGCAUCUUUUAAAGCUCUUCUUAAGAUCUGGGAAAGAGCGGCUCCGCAUCUUAUAAAGCUCUGCUAAAGAUCUGUGAAAGAGCGGCUUGCCGUUCUAACAUCUUGUAAAGAUCUGGGAAACGGCGGCUCGCCAUCGUUCUAAAUAACAUACAUCUUGUAAAGAUCUGCUGGGUGUCUUGCAAACAGCUGGGUCGGACGUCUCGGCGACGCCUUCCAGAUGAGCAAACGCCCUAAAUAAUACGUCUUCCAGACGAAAAACAAGACAUCGCGCAGACAUCUCCGCGACGUACGUGUGCUAUC
Misgurnus anguillicaudatus (oriental weatherfish) is the source of this 1711-nucleotide non-coding RNA. NCBI's taxonomy places the organism in Eukaryota, Metazoa, Chordata, Actinopteri, Cypriniformes, Cobitidae. The record is from RefSeq and is a predicted model, not a curated record.